Molecule: ribosomal RNA, 442 nt
Filed under: uncultured bacterium
Lineage: Bacteria
Description: SSU rRNA
Rfam family: Bacterial small subunit ribosomal RNA
Source: RNAcentral
AGAACGAACGCUGGCGGCAGGCCUAACACAUGCAAGUCGAACGCCCUAGCAAUAGGGAGUGGCAGACGGGUGAGUAACGCGUGGGAACCUUCCCUAUAGUACGGAAUAUACCAGGGAAACUUGGAGCAAUACCGUAUACGCCCGAAAGGGGAAGAUUUAUCGCUAUAGGAUGGGCCCGCGUAGGAUUAGCUAGUUGGUGAGGUAAUGGCUCACCAAGGCGACGAUCCUUAGCUGGUCUGAGAGGAUGAUCAGCCACACUGGGACUGAGACACGGCCCAGACUCCUACGGGAGGCAGCAGUGGGGAAUAUUGGACAAUGGGCGCAAGCCUGAUCCAGCCAUGCCGCGUGAGUGAUGACGGCCUUAGGGUUGUAAAGCUCUUUCGACGGGGACGAUAAUGACGGUACCGUAGAAGAGCCCGGCUAACUUCGUGCCAGCAGCCGC